CGGCGGACGGGUGAGUAACACGUGGAUAACCUACCUAUAAGACUGGGAUAACUUCGGGAAACCGGAGCUAAUACCGGAUAAUAUAUUGAACCGCAUGGUUCAAUAGUGAAAGACGGUUUUGCUGUCACUUAUAGAUGGAUCCGCGCCGCAUUAGCUAGUUGGUAAGGUAACGGCUUACCAAGGCAACGAUGCGUAGCCGACCUGAGAGGGUGAUCGGCCACACUGGAACUGAGACACGGUCCAGACUCCUACGGGAGGCAGCAGGU
Molecule: ribosomal RNA, 266 nt
Filed under: uncultured Staphylococcus sp.
Lineage: Bacteria; Bacillati; Bacillota; Bacilli; Caryophanales; Staphylococcaceae
Description: partial 16S ribosomal RNA
Rfam family: Bacterial small subunit ribosomal RNA
Source: RNAcentral